RNAcentral lists this unclassified non-coding RNA (270 nucleotides) under Hevea brasiliensis (rubber tree). The record is from RNAcentral. Lineage: Eukaryota; Viridiplantae; Streptophyta; Magnoliopsida; Malpighiales; Euphorbiaceae.
GGGGGGAGCCAAAACUAGUAGGCUGGGUUGACUUUUUCUUGCUGGGUUUGGGUGUUUGACUAGCAGCAGAGAAAGAGCCCUGGAAAUUUGCAACCAAUACAAUAAAGAAGAAAGCCAUCACUGAAGAUGACAGUAGUACCCUUCUUCUUUUGCUUUUCUUUUCCAUCUCUUCGACUCAAUCGAGCUAUUUCCAGAAUGAGUUUCAAGAUUUCAGGUCAGAAGAAAAAAACAGCAGAAAUCUAGAGAAAGCUGAAGGGCAAAGUCUUCUUG